AUGCAUCUACCUGUUGCAAAGCCACUACAACAAAUUUUAGACAAAUACCAAGAAGUAUUUAAACCACCUGAAGGGUUGCCACCAAAAAGACAAUAUGAUCAUGUCAUUCCCUUAGUCACCAGGGCCAGGCCAAUAUCUAUCAGGCCCUAUAUGGUUGCUCCACAACUUAAAGAUAAACUGGAGGAACAUGUAGCUGAAUUGCUUAAAACUAGAAUGAUUAGACACAACAAUAGUCUCUUUUCUCCUCCUGUUAUACUGGUCAAGAAAAAGAAGGGGUUGGAGGAUGGUACUAGAUUAUAG
This 300-nucleotide ribosomal RNA is filed under the name Triticum aestivum (bread wheat). RNAcentral's name for it is "partial small subunit ribosomal RNA". The record is from RNAcentral. Lineage: Eukaryota; Viridiplantae; Streptophyta; Magnoliopsida; Poales; Poaceae.